This 427-nucleotide ribosomal RNA is filed under the name uncultured bacterium. RNAcentral describes it as "bacterial SSU rRNA". It matches the Rfam family "Bacterial small subunit ribosomal RNA", at positions 355 to 774 of the family's 1533-position model. The record is from RNAcentral.
UGGGGAAUCUUCCGCAAUGGACGAAAGUCUGACGGAGCGACGCCGCAUGAGUGAAGAAGGCCUUCGGGUCGUAAAGCUCUGUCAUCAGGGACGAACGGCCGGUGGAGUGGAAAGCCACCGGAUUGACGGUACCUGAGAAGGAAGCCACGGCUAACUACGUGCCAGCAGCCGCGGUAAUACGUAGGUGGCAAGCGUUGUCCGGAAUUAUUGGGCGUAAAGCGCGCGCAGGUGGGAUCUUAAGUCCAUUUUGAAAGUUCGGAGCUCAACUCCGUGAUGGGAUGGAAACUGGGAUUCUUGAGUACCGGAGAGGAAAGCGGAAUUCCCCGUGUAGCGGUGAAAUGCGUAGAUAUGGGGAGGAACACCAGUGGCGAAGGCGGCUUUCUGGACGGUGUCUGACACUGAGGCGCGAAAGCCAGGGGAGCGAACG